Microcebus murinus (gray mouse lemur) is the source of this 513-nucleotide non-coding RNA. NCBI's taxonomy places the organism in Eukaryota, Metazoa, Chordata, Mammalia, Primates, Cheirogaleidae. The record is from RefSeq and is a predicted model, not a curated record.
CCCACACGUCCUUCCCUACCUUAGGUGCCAGGCCCUCCAAAGAAACCUGAGGAGGAGGACAUCUACCUGGAGUGUGAGCCCGAUCCAGUCCUGGCCUUGACCCAGACUCUGAGCUCCCAAGUCCUGAUGCCUCCAGUCCUUCUGCCAAGGAUGUCAGUGGUGCUCAGGCCCACCAUAACCCCCCAGGAAGUUCAGAAUGGAGCAGCAGAUGCCACUGCUAAAGCAGGAAAGAGACCGCCUCUUCCCUCUGCAGCCCCCUCCGGAAGCGCCUCAGCUGCCGAGGUGAGGAGGGGCUGGGCACGGGCUGGGCAGGAGGCCUGAGGGGACCAUAGCCUGAGCAUCUUCACCUGGCCCCCUCUGCUUUCCUUGUAUUCUCUCACCACCCUCCCCAACACACAUUUGCCUUCAGACACCCACUCCUGUUGCAGGUCCAGCUGACCACACUGUGCCUACAUGGGAGGUGACCACCCGAGAGCAAAGGCUGGGUGGGGCUUCCUGGCUGCUGCGGCCAGG